This 253-nucleotide ribosomal RNA is filed under the name uncultured bacterium. RNAcentral describes it as "partial 16S ribosomal RNA". It matches the Rfam family "Bacterial small subunit ribosomal RNA", at positions 524 to 776 of the family's 1533-position model. The record is from RNAcentral.
UACGAAGGGGGCUAGCGUUGUUCGGAAUUACUGGGCGUAAAGCGCACGUAGGCGGAUAUGUAAGUCAGUGGUGAAAUAUGGCAGCUCAACUGUCAGGGUGCCAUUGAUACUGCAGAGCUUGAGUACAGAUGAGGUAGGCGGAAUUGACGGUGUAGCGGUGAAAUGCUUAGAUAUCGUCAAGAACACCGAUAGCGAAGGCAGCUUACUGGGCUGUAACUGACGCUGAGGCACGAAAGUGUGGGGAUCAAACAGG